RNAcentral lists this ribosomal RNA (253 nucleotides) under uncultured bacterium. Its description in RNAcentral is "partial 16S ribosomal RNA". It matches the Rfam family "Bacterial small subunit ribosomal RNA", at positions 524 to 776 of the family's 1533-position model. The record is from RNAcentral.
UACGUAGGGACCAAGCGUUGUUCGGAUUUACUGGGCGUAAAGGGCGCGUAGGCGGCGUGACAAGUCACUUGUGAAAUCUCCGAGCUUAACUCGGAAAGGUCAACUGAUACUGUGCGGCUAGAGUGCGGAAGGGGCAACUGGAAUUCUUGGUGUAGCGGUGAAAUGCGUAGAUAUCAAGAGGAACACCUGCGGCGAAGGCGGGUUGCUGGGCCGACACUGACGCUGAGGCGCGAAAGCCAGGGGAGCGAACGGG